CAUAUUUCUACGUCAUUUUCUUCGUACUCGUUCUUCCCGAAGUCAUCUUACAUCUAGUGUGUGACAAUAUUAUUAAGUCGCCUAAACGGUAAUCACUCGAAACAUUUGAGGAUCUCGCGCGUUUACCAAAGGGAGCAAGAAAAAGCGAAGGAGAGAGAGGAGCCAUUGGCUCGUGCUUAAAACCGUGUCUUCUAUCCUCGUCGAGAUUAUCUCAACAUACGAUUGAACGACAGUAGUGCGAGUUUCUUUUUGUUGAUUCCCUGCUCGAUGCCAUGGACCGUUAUCUUGUUCUCUUUUUCUUUAGAUUCAAUCGAGCGCGAAGUUCAAAUAAAUUUCUCAGGCUCCUCUAAAUCUGCCAAUUUCUACGACCCAAGAUUUCGAUGGAUUAACCAGUCGUUCGAUCUAUCGAUGACUUCUCUAGUCAUAAGAGACGAAAAGUUAACUACGCUAUUAGCGAAACGAUAUUACUAAGAUUUCAUUACUAUUUAUUGUCCUUUUUCAAGCAAUUUGAUCACUUUCUUACCGAAAAAUUUUCGAGAACACAUUGGUUUGUAAUCACGGUGCAAAUAAUAAUCUAUUCCGAAGUGUCUAAGUCAGUGCUCUCUUAACCUAAUUUAAAAAAUAAAAAAAUACUGACAAAAAUCAUUAACACAAUUAUUAAAAAAAAAUUGAAAUCAACUUAAAAAUCGCAUAGCGGCACGAAAUAUUUCAACUACAACUUGUUUCAACUAUCCAUCAUACAUAACCUAAAAAAAAUCAAAUAUUACUUUCACAAACAGCACAUUGGUCUAUAUCUACAAAAUAUCUGCAAGUAUUUAUCUUCGAGUUUUCUCAUUCAUCAUUCUCAUUUAAUCUCCAUCAUUUUUCAGAAUCCAACAAGGAUCCUAAAGCAAAUUUAUGAAUACCUAACAAAUCUCUCUCUGUGGAUAAAUAAAGAAGCGCAAGAAUGGUCCAAAUCAUCGAACAGCGAACCAUCUUUGAGAACAGAGUCUAGGUCUCCUAUAAAGUAUAUCAGAGCAGUUCUGCACGUUACGUGGAGGUGGACGUCGUCGUGAAAUCGGUACGUGUUUCUCCUUCAAGAGGAGGCGAAAUGGGACGCGACGACGCCACGACGAGCGACGAAUGGGACGACCGUGGGUGAUCGUCACACGGUAGUCACCCGGUCGACCUCGACGUACCGCACAGAACUGUCGCUGUGUCAGCAAAUCACUUCCUUUCCAUCGAUGAUCGCCGUCUCGGAGGAGAUGCUCUUCAGUCUAUGUUGCGAUAUCGACCGAUUCGUCCGUUGCCUACAGAUCCGCCAAAUCACGAAGAUAAUGACGGCGAGAAUCGUGAUGAUGGCGAGGAGGCCAAGGCCCAAGUGGAGGGGAGGCAAUUGCAGGAGGACAGAACAGUGAGUCAGAGCCUCGUCGUAUCCUGAUGGACAAUGAGAGAUUCCGUCGCACCAUAGAGAAGCGUUUAUGCACGCAUCCAGCUCUGGACACCGCUGUUCGCAGUCACGUGGCAUCUGCAACCCUGCUGUCGAUGUUACCGAUGGUUAUAGAAAUUCAAGCGAAGGAAAAAUGAAUAAAUUCUGAAUUGAAUACUUUCUAAAGAGGAUUAAGAAAUUUGGACAUCAAGGAAAGGUUUUAUCAAGGAAAUGCGUCAGAUUAGAUAUGAGCUCGAGCCAGGUGACCGUGUACGUAUCCGGUUCCUUGACAAUGAACUCGAUGGCUAUAGUCCUGACGGGGUCCUGACCCGGCACCAGAAUCAUGGCAUUGCUGCUGACGGCCCAGCCGUCGCUGAAAACUUCGACCACGUGGUGUCUAGACUCCGCAGGUGGUUUCGGGCACACCGACACGUGAAUCGUGCCACCGGUAUUGAUUCGGCCCAGGAUCUAUCAGCCAUGGAUGCUUCUCACAAUUUUUCUGAAAAGCAAGAUCAAUCCAAAAUUUCUCAAAUUUCUCAACUCUCAAGAUCAACGAGCUUCUUCAUUCAUCAUAUAUCAAAGAGUCUCACCUCAUCCUCGUCGACAAUUGGAGCUUUGUACUUGAUCUCUCCGGAAGGCCCCCUCACCCUCCUCUUCUGCAAACAAGGAAUCGUCUUGACGAAUUCCCAUAUGCCUUCGAAGAACAGAUUAUUGUAGUCGUCCAACGCGUCCAUAGACCUGACGGUGAAGUGCACCUCGACGAUGUUCGAGGUCGAUUUGAUAUUGAUCGGCAGUGAUCGAUUGGAACACAGGCAGUCUCGUUGCACGGGCGGCGCAUUCGGCCAGGGAAGAUCGAGCACCUGUGGAUAUCGAGCCGUGAUUCGGUCCCGCGGGUCGCUUGCCAUUUAAUUAGCCGUCAGAUUAUAUUAUAAUUGCAGGGGGACAAACAUGACGGCCGGGUAUCGAGAGCAUAAGCGUCCCUAAUUGCGCUUUAAAUUCGCGAGCUGGCGACCCUCGUAAAUCCUGGAAUCGAUAACGAACUUGGAACGAACGAUGGUAACCACCUAUGGUUUCGGAUCGAAAUUUUAGAUUUAUUCGGCUUUUGCCCACCGCUGCCACUCCGAUUACCGUUUACACGCCGAAUUUCUGAUAAAGUUUUAAUGAAAACGCGCCCUCGUUAAUUACGACCUCUCACCCCUCGUUCUCGUGAGUUGGGAAAAUUGUCGAUAGAGGUCCCCUCGAUCGCCACUGGGAAACUUUAAAUUAAAAUCGUUGCUCAUUUGUGAUUGGUGUUCGAAUCUUAUUUGUGCGAUUCCAUUGGUGGAUUUUUAAAGAUUUAUCGUUUGGUUCUUUUUAUCAUUUUAAAGAGAGUGGAUAUUUUGUGUGUGCAUCAUGUUGUUCUUUUACACGAGGUGUGUUAAAAAAUUCGAUAAUAUGUUAUUUUUCUUCUCGCAUUCAUUUCUAAACAACGUCGAGAAGAAUAGUUCUUGUAUAUUAUUGAAGCAAAUUUAAAUCCGAUCGAAAUCGAAGUGUAACGAUAUUGAAAAGAAAAUAAUUGUUUCGAUCUCUCUGAUUAAUUUUUGAACAAAGCUCUAUCGUUCUCGAUUAUCCGAACAACACCGACUUGCACAUUUGCUCGCCGACGUUAACAACUCUAUUCACGAGAGAUGAAUGGGCCCCUCUAGCGAUCUCCUGUCGUGCAAAUAUAAAACGGAGCAAUACCUAUUCAAAGUUCGUUUCGAAGAUUAAUUGGAACACGUGCCGCGUUAUUAUCGCGAAACAGAUCGAGGAAAGGAAAUAUUUGAAACGGUUCCGCGCUUUCAAUUGUUGAAACAUAAAAAAAAGCAGAAAAACUAUUACAAACUAUCUGAACCAAAAAACCACGUCGGUAAAGUCAAGUAAAAGGUAUGCAGAAAACAUUUUCAUAAAUUGAAAUCCGUCCAAAUCUACGUGAAAAAGGGACGAGACUCACCUUCACGGAGAAGUUCUCCGAUCCGACGCAGAGGAGCCGAUUAAAGUCUGGGCUGGAGACGCUGCGGCACGUCCGGUUCCCGUUCAAAAGCUUGUUGAACCGCAGCUUCACGAUCUCGUCGUGCUCGCCCUCGAAUCGAUACACGCAGCUGGAAAAUCCGUUGUAGCCUGUACUAAUGGAAUUUACAUGGUCGGCCGGCCACGCAAAGGAAAUCGUAUUCCUCGAUCGAUACCGCACGAGAGAUUACGAGGAGGAGCAGAUCAACCAUGGUCAAUGAUGUUUCUCGUUCGUUAACCGAUCGUCGGUUAAACCCCUUGCGUUGGUUUGAGAGAGAAGGGAAGCGAAAGGAAAUUGAAGAAAUAAUGGAAUAAAUCAAGAGGCGAAGAAAAAAUUUUAAAUGGUAUAGAUAAACUUGAUCUCUGGUAUGUAAUUUAUAGUAUGGAUCUGUUCAUCAGUGAUACAUGGAAUUCUGUUUGAAAACAGGUAAAGGGAAUGAAGAAGAAUAGAGAAAUGGAAAGUUUGAAAACAGGUAAAGGGAAUGAAGAAGAAUAGAGAAAUGGAAAGUUGGGGAAAUGAAGAAUAGAAAUUUUAAUCCGGAUUAAUUUUCCUUGGCCUCUGUCAUAUUUCAUUCCUCUUUCGCAUGGCGUGUAAUUACAACUGCGAACAAAGUAAACGAGUAUCCGUCACGCAGCAGCAGCUAUGGAAUUCUAUUUGAACGGUAAACAAAUGAUAAAUGAACAACGACAAAAGCGAAAAAGCGAAUUGUAUAUCGUUGAUAACUGAUCAGAGGUGCACUCCUUUUGGAGGAAUGUGUUGCUUCUCUCGUGUCAAAAAUGAAAAGAUAUAAAGAUCCGUUUUAUGAUCUUGUGAAGCCAAGAAAAGUUUGAUUGGGAUUGGAUCGAUUGAGGAGUUGUUCACGCGAGGAUUGAAACGGAGUAAGAGUUGAAUUCGGUGUCAAUGGAACUUUAGGUAAAAUUUGACUUUCCUUUCUGUGGAUUUUGUAAGUUUCGAAAGAGAGAGAGAGAGAGUUGUCAAAGUUGGAAGGAUAAACAGAGGGAAAUUUAUAAUAGGGAUAGUGGUUGGGUAAAGGUCUCUUGGAUCUGUUUGUAGGAGCACGAGAAAUCUGAAAGCUUGGAAAACGAAGAAGGGGAAGUUUUCAAUGAGGGAAUAGUGAUUUUUUUUUUAAGAUUCGCUUUGGAGAGAGGGGAAUAAUAGCUUUGGCGAGAUAAAGGAAAAAGAAUCGAAAGAGAGAAAUGCUCGUGAUAAACGAAUAGCUUUUCCAAUCUUAAGUUGGUGAAAGUUUUUACUUGUUAAACUUGUAACUAUGAAAAGAAAAAGAUUUUAAAGGAGUAGGAAUUCUUACUGUAUGAAUUGUUACUGUAUGGAAUAUCAUAUCUCGUUUUAACAUUUGAGUUUUCUCAGUAUUAUUUAUUUGUAACGAAAAAUGUUUAUUUGUAAUUCAGAUAAAAGUUGAAUGGUGUCAAAAAA
Molecule: long non-coding RNA, 4868 nt
Organism: Apis florea (little honeybee)
Lineage: Eukaryota; Metazoa; Arthropoda; Insecta; Hymenoptera; Apidae
Source: RefSeq, a predicted model, not a curated record